GAUGAAGAACGUAGCGAAAUGCGAUACGUAAUGUGAAUUGCAGAAUUCAGUGAAUCAUCGAAUCUUUGAACGCAUAUUGCGCUCUCUGGUAUUCCGGAGAGCAUGCUUGUUUGAGUAUCAGUAAACACCUCAACUCCCUUUUCUUUUUUGAAAUGGGAGCUGGACUUGAGUGAUCCCAACACUUUUCUCACUGGAAAGUGGCGGGUCACUUGAAAUGCAGGUGCAGCUGGACUUUUCUCUGAGCUAUAAGCAUAUCUAUUUAGUCUGCCUAAAAAACAGAUUAUUACCUUUGCUACAGCUAACAUAAAGGAGAUGAGUUCUUGUGCUGACUGAUGCAGGAUUCACAGAGACAGCUUUGCGGCUGACUUUGUAAACUCGAUCUCAAAUCAAGUAAGACUACCCGCUGAACUUAAGCAUAUCAAUAAGCGGAGGA
RNAcentral lists this unclassified non-coding RNA (433 nucleotides) under soil metagenome. RNAcentral describes it as "partial contains 5.8S ribosomal RNA, internal transcribed spacer 2, and large subunit ribosomal RNA". The stretch from base 1 to 120 matches the Rfam family "5.8S ribosomal RNA", at positions 35 to 154 of the family's 154-position model. The record is from RNAcentral.